RNAcentral lists this ribosomal RNA (1137 nucleotides) under Triticum aestivum (bread wheat). RNAcentral's name for it is "partial small subunit ribosomal RNA". Lineage: Eukaryota; Viridiplantae; Streptophyta; Magnoliopsida; Poales; Poaceae. The record is from RNAcentral.
CCGCCGCCGCCGGUACUAUCGCUGCCGGACGAGCUCAUCGAGGAGGUCUUCUUCCGCCUCCCGCCGGACGAGCCCGAGCACCUCGUGCGCGCCUCCCUCGCCUGCAAGCUCCUGCUGGGCCUCCUCACCGGACCUAGCUUCCGCCGUCGCUACCGCGACUUCCAUGGAGCUCCCCCCAUGUUGGGUUUCCUUUAUUCCUGGCCACAAUUCUCCCGCCAACGGUCGGAGGACCUCCUCGUCCCACAGUUCUUCCCCACCACAAAAUUCGGCGCGCGUGUUCCAGACGAUCCCUGGCCGGACUGGGGGGACUCCGAGUUGGCUGUGUUGGACUGCCACCACGGUCGCGUUCUCCUCGGGGACUAUGAUAAACCCAUGCCGCUCAUCGUUUGGGACCCCAUGACAGGCAGCCGGACCAAGCUGGAAGCGCCCAAAGGAUGCAAUAUGCCCAUGAACGCCGAGCCCGGUGGAGCCGCCGUGCUCUGUGCCGUGGCAGGAUGUGACCACCGCGGAUGCCAUCAAGGCCCCUUCCGGGUUGUCUUCUUCGGCAUGAGCACGGAUGGUGACGAUAAUUGUAUUAUACACGUGCGGGUGUCCUCGCCGGAGACUGGUGAGUGGAGCGAGCAGUGCCCUAGUUUUGAUCUUGGCAUGGAUGCAUUCAUCUGGCCAGUGCCUCCUGUCCUCAUCCAAGACGCACUUUACUUUAUACAUAUUCUUGGUGAAGAUGAACGCAAAGUAGGAAUUCUCAAAAACGACGUGGACUCUAAUUGCUUAUCGCGGAUUGAUGCGCCAGGGCCACUGCCGUGGCCUCCCAGUGACGAUUCUACUAUCCUCAUGGCUAUGGAGGAUGGCAGUUUGGGUUUUGCACAAGUGGAUAGCGUAACUUUCUAUCUGUGGUCAAGCCAGAUGGGCUCCGAGGGUGUUGCGUCAUGGACUCGGCCUAGAGUCAUCGAUCUCAACAACCUUCUCCCCAUCAAAAAUCCUGAUAAAGUUCUUAGACUGAUUGGAUCUGUGGAGGGCAGGGAUAUCGUUUUCAUCACCACAGACCUUGGCAUCUACGAGAUUAAUCUUAAGUCGCUACAGUGGAAGAAGCUAUGGAAGAGAAAAAAUUUCCUUAGAUUGAUUCCGUACAUGAGUUUC